RNAcentral lists this ribosomal RNA (809 nucleotides) under Helotiales sp. Its description in RNAcentral is "partial large subunit ribosomal RNA". It matches the Rfam family "Eukaryotic large subunit ribosomal RNA", at positions 72 to 898 of the family's 3401-position model. Lineage: Eukaryota; Fungi; Ascomycota; Leotiomycetes; Helotiales. The record is from RNAcentral.
GGAUUACCUCAGUAACGGCGAGUGAAGCGGUAACAGCUCAAAUUUGAAAUCUGGCUCUUUCAGGGUCCGAGUUGUAAUUUGUAGAAGAUGCUUUGGGCAUUGCUCCGGUCUAAGUUCCUUGGAACAGGACGUCAUAGAGGGUGAGAAUCCCGUAUGUGACUGGUGGCAUUUGUCCGUGUAAAGCUCUUUCGACGAGUCGAGUUGUUUGGGAAUGCAGCUCAAAAUGGGUGGUAUAUUUCAUCUAAAGCUAAAUAUUGGCCAGAGACCGAUAGCGCACAAGUAGAGUGAUCGAAAGAUGAAAAGCACUUUGGAAAGAGAGUUAAACAGUACGUGAAAUUGUUGAAAGGGAAGCGCUUGCAACCAGACUUGCAGGUCGUUGAUCAUCCGGGGUUCUCCCCGGUGCACUCGGCGGCUUUCAGGCCAGCAUCGGUUUGAGUGGUGGGAUAAAGGCCUUGGGAAUGUGGCUCCUUUCGGGGAGUGUUAUAGCCCAAGGUGCAAUGCCGCCUAUUCGGACCGAGGACCGCGCUUCGGCUAGGAUGCUGGCGUAAUGGUUGUAAGCGACCCGUCUUGAAACACGGACCAAGGAGUCUAACAUCUAUGCGAGUGUUUGGGUGUCAAACCCAUACGCGUAAUUAACGUGAACGGAGGUAAGAACCCUUAAGGGUGCAUUAUCGACCGAUCCUGAUGUCUUCGGAUGGAUUUGAGUAAGAGCAUAGCUGUUGGGACCCGAAAGAUGGUGAACUAUGCCUGAAUAGGGUGAAGCCAGAGGAAACUCUGGUGGAGGCUCGCAGCGGUUCUGACGUGCAAAU